Molecule: ribosomal RNA, 301 nt
Filed under: uncultured bacterium
Lineage: Bacteria
Description: partial 16S ribosomal RNA
Rfam family: Bacterial small subunit ribosomal RNA
Source: RNAcentral
CAGUAGCCGCGGGAAUACGGAGGGCGCAAGCGUUAAUCGGAAUUACUGGGCGUAAAGCGCACGCAGGCGGUUUGUUAAGUCAGAUGUGAAAUCCCCGAGCUUAACUUGGGAACUGCAUUUGAAACUGGCAAGCUAGAGUCUUGUAGAGGGGGGUAGAAUUCCAGGUGUAGCGGUGAAAUGCGUAGAGAUCUGGAGGAAUACCGGUGGCGAAGGCGGCCCCCUGGACAAAGACUGACGCUCAGGUGCGAAAGCGUGGGGAGCAAACAGGAUUAGAUACCCCUGUAGUCCCUGUCUCUUAUAC